Molecule: ribosomal RNA, 833 nt
Filed under: uncultured marine bacterium
Lineage: Bacteria
Description: bacterial SSU rRNA
Rfam family: Bacterial small subunit ribosomal RNA
Source: RNAcentral
GCAAGUCGUGCGAGAAAGAUCUUCGGAUAUUAGUAGAGCGGCGGACGGGUGAGUAACGCGUAGGAAUCUACCUAGUAGAAGGGGAUAGCCCGGGGAAACCCGGAUUAAUACCGUAUACCUCCUUCGGGAGAAAGAAGGCCUCUCUUUGAAGCUUUCGCUAUUAGAUGAGCCUGCGUAAGAUUAGCUUGUUGGUGAGGUAAAGGCUCACCAAGGCGACGAUCUUUAGCUGGUCUGAGAGGACGAUCAGCCACAUUGGGACUGAGACACGGCCCAGACUCCUACGGGAGGCAGCAGUGGGGAAUAUUGGACAAUGGGCGCAAGCCUGAUCCAGCCAUACCGCGUGUGUGAAGAAGGCCUUCGGGUUGUAAAGCACUUUAAGCAGGGAGAAAAAGUUAUAAGUUAAUACCUUAUAACCGUGAUGUUACCUGCAGAAUAAGCACCGGCUAAUUCCGUGCCAGCAGCCGCGGUAAUACGGAAGGUGCAAGCGUUAAUCGGAAUUACUGGGCGUAAAGCGCGCGUAGGUGGUUUGUUAAGUUGGAUGUGAAAGCCCUGGGCUCAACCUAGGAACUGCAUCCAAAACUAACUCACUAGAGUACGAUAGAGGGAGGUAGAAUUCAUAGUGUAGCGGUGGAAUGCGUAGAUAUUAUGAAGAAUACCAGUGGCGAAGGCGGCCUCCUGGAUCUGUACUGACACUGAGGUGCGAAAGCGUGGGUAGCGAACAGGAUUAGAUACCCUGGUAGUCCACGCCGCAAACGAUGACAACUAGCUGUUGGAAGACAACGUCUUUCAGUGGCGCAGCUAACGUUUUAAGUUGUCCGCCUGGGGAGUACGGC